Molecule: ribosomal RNA, 499 nt
Filed under: uncultured bacterium
Lineage: Bacteria
Description: bacterial SSU rRNA
Rfam family: Bacterial small subunit ribosomal RNA
Source: RNAcentral
ACUCAAAGGAAUAGACGGGGGCCCGCACAAGCGGAGGAACAUGUGGUUUAAUUCGAUGAUACGCGAGGAACCUUACCCGGGCUUGAAAUGGAGAGGAAUAACUUGGAAACAGGUUAGCCAGCAAUGGUCUCUUUGUAGGUGCUGCAUGGUUGUCGUCAGCUCGUGCCGUGAGGUGUCGGCUUAAGUGCCAUAACGAGCGCAACCCUUAUCAUUAGUUGCAAACAGGUAGUGCUGUGGACUCUAGUGAGACUGCCACCGUAAGGUGUGAGGAAGGUGGGGAUGACGUCAAAUCAGCACGGCCCUUACGUCCGGGGCGACACACGUGUUACAAUGGGAGAUACAACGGGCAGCUACUCGGCGACGAGGUGCUAAUCUCUAAAAAUCUCUCUCAGUUCGGAUUGGAGUCUGCAACUCGACUCCAUGAAGCUGGAUUCGCUAGUAAUCGCGCAUCAGCCACGGCGCGGUGAAUACGUUCCCGGGCCUUGUACACACCGCCCGU